This 253-nucleotide ribosomal RNA is filed under the name uncultured bacterium. RNAcentral describes it as "partial 16S ribosomal RNA". It matches the Rfam family "Bacterial small subunit ribosomal RNA", at positions 524 to 776 of the family's 1533-position model. The record is from RNAcentral.
UACAGAGGUCCCGAGCGUUGUUCGGAUUCAUUGGGCGUAAAGGGUGCGUAGGCGGCGGGGAAAGUCUGAUGUGAAAUCCUGGGGCUCAACCCUGGGAUGCCGGUCGAUACUGCCGGACUAGAGUUCGGAAGAGGCGAGUGGAAUUCCCGGUGUAGCGGUGAAAUGCGCAGAUAUCGGGAGGAACACCAAUGGCGAAGGCAGCUCGCUGGGACGUUACUGACGCUGAGACGCGAAAGCGUGGGGAGCAAACAGG